This 478-nucleotide ribosomal RNA is filed under the name uncultured bacterium. RNAcentral's name for it is "partial 16S ribosomal RNA". It matches the Rfam family "Bacterial small subunit ribosomal RNA", at positions 28 to 523 of the family's 1533-position model. The record is from RNAcentral.
GACGAACGCUGGCGGCGUGCUUAACACAUGCAAGUCGAACGGUAAGGCCCUUCGGGGUACACGAGUGGCGAACGGGUGAGUAACACGUGGGUGAUCUGCCCUGCACUUCGGGACAAGCCUGGGAAACUGGGUCUAAUACCGGAUAGGACCACUGCCUGCAUGGGUGGAGGUGGAAAGCUUUUGCGGUGUGGGAUGGGCCCGCGGCCUAUCAGCUUGUUGGUGGGGUGAUGGCCUACCAAGGCGACGACGGGUAGCCGGCCUGAGAGGGUGACCGGCCACACGGGGAAUGAGGUACGGCCCAGACUCCAACGGGAGGCAGCGGUGGGGAAUAUUGCACAAUGGGCGCAAGCCUGAUGCAGCGACGCCGCGUGAGGGAUGACGGCCUUCGGGUUGUAAACCUCUUUCAGCACCGACGAAGCGCAAGUGACGGUAGGUGCAGAAGAAGGACCGGCCAACUACGUGCCAGCAGCCGCCGUAA